UGUAAAAUAGCAUCAAUGGAAUUUGUAAAUAAUUUAAAAUUAUUAAAACAUCCACAUAUUUGCGU
Non-coding RNA from Mya arenaria, 65 nucleotides. Lineage: Eukaryota; Metazoa; Mollusca; Bivalvia; Myida; Myidae. The record is from the annotation of a RefSeq genome assembly.